GACGAACGCUGGCGGCGUGCUUAACACAUGCAAGUCGAACGGAAAGGCCCUGCUUUUGUGGGGUGCUCGAGUGGCGAACGGGUGAGUAACACGUGAGUAACCUGCCCUUGACUUUGGGAUAACUUCAGGAAACUGGGGCUAAUACCGGAUAGGAGCUCCUGCUGCAUGGUGGGGGUUGGAAAGUUUCGGCGGUUGGGGAUGGACUCGCGGCUUAUCAGCCUGUUGGUGGGGUAGUGGCUUACCAAGGCUUUGACGGGUAGCCGGCCUGAGAGGGUGACCGGCCACAUUGGGACUGAGAUACGGCCCAGACUCCUACGGGAGGCAGCAGUGGGGAAUAUUGCACAAUGGGCGGAAGCCUGAUGCAGCAACGCCGCGUGCGGGAUGACGGCCUUCGGGUUGUAAACCGCUUUCGCCUGUGACGAAGCGUGAGUGACGGUAAUGGGUAAAGAAGCACCGGCUAACUAC
RNAcentral lists this ribosomal RNA (465 nucleotides) under uncultured bacterium. Its description in RNAcentral is "partial 16S ribosomal RNA". It matches the Rfam family "Bacterial small subunit ribosomal RNA", at positions 28 to 504 of the family's 1533-position model. The record is from RNAcentral.